CUUGGGACGUAAAGUCCUUCCAUGUGUUAGGCUUCGGUGAGGAUGAGAUUCUAGAUUCCAUAAAGGAAGAGAAUUUAAUAGGAAAAGGAGGUUCUGGAAACGUGUACAAAGUAGCACUUGCCAAUGGUAAAGAACUUGCUGUGAAACAUAUUUUGAAUACAGAUUCCUGUGGCCGGAAAAAGAGCUGGAGCACGACACCGAUGCUUGCUAGACGGGGAGGAAAAUCUAAAGAAUUUGAUGCUGAGGUGCAUACCUUGAGCUCAACAAGGCAUGUCAAUGUGGUGAAGCUGUAUUGUAGCAUUACCAGUGAGGAUUCUAGCCUGUUGGUUUACGAGUAUAUGCCUAAUGGUAGCUUAUGGGAUCGUCUGCAUACUUCAACGAAGAUGGAGCUUGAAUGGGAGACGAGGUAUGAGAUCGCUUUGGGAGCAGCUAAGGGACUAGAGUAUCUGCAUCAUGGAUGCGACAGACCCAUAAUUCACAGAGAUGUGAAGUCCAGUAAUAUUUUGUUGGAUGAGUUUUUGAAGCCUAGGAUAGCUGAUUUUGGGCUGGCCAAGAUUGUUCAAGCCAAUGGAGGCAAAGACUCCACCCAUGUCAUUGCUGGUACCCAUGGUUAUAUAGCUCCAGAAUAUGGAUACACAUACAAAGUCAGUGAGAAGAGUGAUGUUUACAGCUUUGGAGUGGUACUAAUGGAGUUGGUGAGUGGAAAGAGGCCAAUAGAGCCAGAGUUUGGAGACAACAAAGACAUAGUAGAUUGGGUCUCCAGCAACUUGAAGAGUAAAGAGAGAGUGUUAAGCAUAGUAGACUCCAGAAUUCCAGAAUUUUUCAAGGAAGAUGUUGUCAAGGUAUUGAGAAUUGCAAUUCUCUGCACUGAGCGGCUUCCAUCACUAAGACCCACCAUGAGAAGUGUAGUUCAAAUGCUAAGAGAAGCUGAACCUUGUAAGCUGGCGGGUAUUGUCAUUAGUAAAGAUGGUGCUAGCAAGAAAAAGGAAGUGACAGAUAAGGGGAAGUUCAGUCCUGGCGUUUAAGUGUCUCCAACUGGUAUUUCUUGGAAAAAAAAGAAUCCAACUUGAACAUGUACUAUAUGUAGUGCAAUAUAUUAGCCAAUUUGUAAUUUUGAUGCAGAAAGCCAGUGCUCUCUUGUGUUAUUUUAAACAACUGAAGGCGAAAGAGAUCCCAAAA
This 1179-nucleotide unclassified non-coding RNA is filed under the name Hevea brasiliensis (rubber tree). Lineage: Eukaryota; Viridiplantae; Streptophyta; Magnoliopsida; Malpighiales; Euphorbiaceae. The record is from RNAcentral.